This 434-nucleotide ribosomal RNA is filed under the name uncultured archaeon. RNAcentral describes it as "bacterial SSU rRNA". It matches the Rfam family "Archaeal small subunit ribosomal RNA", at positions 19 to 458 of the family's 1478-position model. The record is from RNAcentral.
GGACCUGACUGCUAUCGGAUUGAUACUAAGCCAUGCGAGUCAUUGUAGCAAUACAAGGCAUACGGCUCAGUAACGCGUAGUCAACCUAACCUAUGGACGGGAAUAACCUCGGGAAACUGAGAAUAAUGCCCGAUAGAACAUUAUGCCUGGAAUGGUUUAUGUUCCAAAUGAUUUAUCGCCGUAGGAUGGGACUGCGGCCUAUCAGUUUGUUGGUGAGGUAAUGGCCCACCAAGACUAUUACAGGUACGGGCUCUGAGAGGAGUAGCCCGGAGAUGGGUACUGGGACACGGACCCAGGCCCUAUGGGGCGCAGCAGGCGAGAAAACUUUGCAAUGUGCGAAAGCACGACAAGGUUAAUCCGAGUGGUUUCUGCUAAAGAAACCUUUUGUCAGUCCUAGAAACACUGAUGAAUAAGGGGUGGGCAAGUUCUGGUGU